GUUCUAAUCGAUACGACUGGGACAAGAGACAUCUUCACUUUAGCUAUUACAGUUAUGCCAGAUACCAGCAGCUUCUACAACAAAACCAAAGAAACAGGGAACUAUGAAGCUUGGGCCAACCUCCAAUUUGUGUUAGCUAGCUUAGGGAUUCAAAACUGACCAAGAUUUGGCCUUUUUUCUGCUGAAAAAGCUAUAGGAGACUCUACAUAAGGAACCUACAUAAGAAGACUCCCUGAAGUGUCACCAACAACGACCGAGCUGCUACAACUUUGAGGAGUCGCCACGCAACACAGGAUGCAGUUAGCAAACCUUCGCGCGAGGAAGGACCUGAGCUUUCCUUAUUAUUGUCCGUCUCUGUGGCUCACUGGAACUGUAAACCGACAGAGUACUCAGAAAUGUUGUUGAAAGAGAAGGGCCUACAACCAAACAUAUAAAUCAGAUGAAAUAAGGGAAGUUUGUGUGGGCAACGAGUCGGAUGCAAAGGAUUUACUUCAGUCACCCGACAAGGCCCAAAUCCCUGUCAUUCACAUGAGAAAGAGACAGAGAUAUCGGGGAUGUCGGUCGGGGUGCCCUGUAAGGAUCCGACGGCAAGUGGGUAAUCUGCAUCUACCAUCAGUCAAAAUAGCCAAUUAUUUUUUACUUAACACUUAUUUUUCUUAACUGCAUUUUUGGUUAAGGGCUUAUAAGUAAGCAUUUCUCUACACCUGUUGUAUUCAGAGCAUGUGACAAAUAAAAUUUGAUUUGAACAUUUGA
Oncorhynchus keta (chum salmon) is the source of this 753-nucleotide long non-coding RNA. RefSeq lists it as uncharacterized. Lineage: Eukaryota; Metazoa; Chordata; Actinopteri; Salmoniformes; Salmonidae. The record is from RefSeq and is a predicted model, not a curated record. The transcript is spliced from 2 exons.